RNAcentral lists this long non-coding RNA (354 nucleotides) under Solanum tuberosum (potato). RNAcentral describes it as "long non-coding RNA (STUB_LNC003316)". Lineage: Eukaryota; Viridiplantae; Streptophyta; Magnoliopsida; Solanales; Solanaceae. The record is from RNAcentral.
ACAAGAUACCCUACACCUCCCACCAACAACUGGUAUUAGGUAACUCUAUCGCUAAAACAAUUUGGAAAGAAAUCACCUAGUUCUUUUUUAAUCUCUACAGGGAUUUGAAAUAAGACCUCGUAAUACUCAACACACUUCAUUGACCAGUACACCACACCUUGGGUGCCACAAAUGCACCUUAUUACAAUGAAAAAGUCCAAAAGAGAGUUCAAUUAAAAGCUAAAAUAGUUCAUAAACCCUAAAUUAGACAAAUUAUAAGCACCGUAAUACAAAACAAAAACUGAAUCUCAAUAAACAGAACAGAAACCAACAAUUUACACAACGAUAAUUAACCAAAAAAAAAUGCGAAAAAAU